RNAcentral lists this ribosomal RNA (207 nucleotides) under uncultured bacterium. RNAcentral's name for it is "partial 16S ribosomal RNA". It matches the Rfam family "Bacterial small subunit ribosomal RNA", at positions 568 to 774 of the family's 1533-position model. The record is from RNAcentral.
CGCGUAGGCGGCUAGACAAGUCAAAGGUGAAAUCCCUCGGCUCAACUGAGGAACUGCCUUUGAAACUGUGUGGCUCGAGGCCGGGAGGGGGUAGCGGAAUUCCCAGUGUAGCGGUGAAAUGCGUAGAUAUUGGGAGGAACACCAGUGGCGAAGGCGGCUACCUGGACCGGUACUGACGCUGAUGCGCGAAAGCGUGGGUAGCAAACA